GACGAACGCUGGCGGCGUGCCUAAUACAUGCAAGUCGAACGCUGAAGGAGGAGCUUGCUUCUCUGGAUGAGUUGCGAACGGGUGAGUAACGCGUAGGUAACCUGCCUGGUAGCGGGGGAUAACUAUUGGAAACGAUAGCUAAUACCGCAUAAGAGUAGAUGUCGCAUGACAUUUGCUUAAAAGGUGCAAUUGCAUCACUACCAGAUGGACCUGCGUUGUAUUAGCUAGUUGGUGAGGUAACGGCUCACCAAGGCAACGAUACAUAGCCGACCUGAGAGGGGGAUCGGCCACACUGGGACUGAGACACGGCCCAGACUCCUACGGGAGGCAGCAGUAGGGAAUCUUCGGCAAUGGACGGAAGUCUGACCGAGCAACGCCGCGUGAGUGAAGAAGGUGUUCGGAGCGUAAAGCUCUGUUGUAAGAGAAGAACGAGUGUGAGAGUGGAAAGGUCACACUGUGACGGUAUCUUACCAGAAAGGGACGGCUAACUACGUGC
RNAcentral lists this ribosomal RNA (496 nucleotides) under uncultured bacterium. RNAcentral describes it as "partial 16S ribosomal RNA". It matches the Rfam family "Bacterial small subunit ribosomal RNA", at positions 28 to 508 of the family's 1533-position model. The record is from RNAcentral.